CUCCACGCCACCAGGGAAACAGAUCGGGGUCACGGACGAGUCCGAGAACCUGAGCACAAGAGAACUGCGGUGCACGUACUGGGAGUACUGGACACAGUGCAUGUACAGCCAGCUUGCAGCCACUUUGCCACCACUUUAGGACAAUGUUUACAGUAGACUGAGCCACACUGACUGUGAGCAGUCAUUGUGCUGCUGCAUGGCUGAUGGCACUGUCCCUGCAGCUGUCAGGGACAACAAGAACCACUCAGCUACCUCAGCCAAGCCAAGACUGUGCUGAUGUUGUGACCUGAGACCAAGACACUAACCCAGGAUGGUGAUAUGAUGGUGUGAGAGUGGGUGGAUGAGCCCAUCCACCUUAAAUAUGGAUCAUAUAAAUAUCUGUAAUGCAACACAUGUUUUAUGCAACAUGAACAUAUUUCCCAGCUGUUUCAUGUUGUGUUUCCAAGAUUUCAGUUUACUGUAACUUUCAUUUGUAUUUCCUUCAGUCUGUUAAUCUUGGAGCUGUGAGCAGCUUCUUAUUACCAGGUGAGAAUAUGUAACAGUCUGUAGAUGUGAUGACACUAUGGAGCGGAUCUCCUGUCUAGUUCUGCACAGAAAGCUGAUGUCACUGCAGCUGCUAAUAUGUGCUGCAGCCAAGCCUACAUGAGAGGGCUGUGCUGUGGAACAGGGUGGUGCAGGUGGUGUUAUCUACAUUUGAACAUUAGACAACAGUCACAUGAAGACACUUGAUGUUGUUAGCUAAAGACCUACAAUAAGAGAAAGAGAGCAGCAGCACUAGUGCAGCAACAGCAGCUCAUGUUAUAAAAACACUGAUCAAUGAUUUGACUGUAGCUGCUCCAACUGUCUGUGUCAGUGAUGCUGUUGGAGAUGUUUCAGUAACACUGAGACUGAAAUGGUUUAACACUGGUUUCAUGUUCAGAGAGAUUUGACCUGCUGUUAAAUGUCACAUAUUUCUGAUAUAUGUAUAAUACAUAAUCAUGCUCUGUUACACACAUUCAUAUGUGACUGUUACUGUAUCAUAUUCAGUCCUCGUCUUACACUCAGGUGUUCAUCGCAGUCACAGACGUGUCUGUAGUUGUUGUUGUCAGUGUGUGUGUGUGUGUGACUUUUACUGCUACCUUUCAUUACAUAAUUACCAACAAGAAUAAACUGUUAAUUAGCACCAAAGAACAUCAGGGUGGCUAAAUAUACAUUAUAUGUGUGUUGUACAGUGUUGGGAAAGAAAUGACACCGACCUCUCCCACAGGGGAAUUGUAGAAAAGGGGAGGGGCCAAAGGGGUACCACAAAAUUUACAGGGUUGCACCAAAGAAGAAGAAGAAGAAUGAGGAGGGGCUCCAGCUGAUAAUAAACAUAAGUGCAGACUUGGAGGUCCUGAAAGUAUAAAAGGACCAGUUUGGGUCUGGUUCCGUUAAUAAACUACAUACUAAUGCUCACUAUUGUGUCGUUAUUAUAAAGUGCGACUAAAUCCUCCCUCUGGAUGGGAAGAGUCCAUGUGUCAGUAUUCAGACACCUGGCUUGGGUUUCUGCAGCUAAUGUGUCACCUGUGAGGACUCUGAGACAAACCCACAGCAUGCAGGUCAUUUCUACAUCUGUUGGUGUGUCCUCAGUUUCCCAGCAUGCCUUGGCUGUGCUCAUGGAAGUGAAUGAGAGGGAAGAUCUGUCCUGCUGCCCUGUCAGUACUCGGAUUUCAUACCUGGUGAUCUCAGAGGACAAAAGCAGCGUUACAGCGGCGCACAUCGAUGAGAGCUGAUGCUCUCAACACUUCAGACCUCCGCCUGUCUCUGAGAAAACCAACAA
This is a long non-coding RNA of Oreochromis niloticus (Nile tilapia), 1798 nucleotides long. RefSeq lists it as uncharacterized. The record is from RefSeq and is a predicted model, not a curated record. The transcript is spliced from 2 exons. Lineage: Eukaryota; Metazoa; Chordata; Actinopteri; Cichliformes; Cichlidae.